This 199-nucleotide long non-coding RNA is filed under the name Gossypium raimondii (Peruvian cotton). RNAcentral describes it as "long non-coding RNA (GRAI_LNC009681)". Lineage: Eukaryota; Viridiplantae; Streptophyta; Magnoliopsida; Malvales; Malvaceae. The record is from RNAcentral.
GAACUACUGCUCUUAGAACCAGAAAUAAAUAGGCUUACCCCUUCAAAAGAAUCGAAUCCGGUUGGGGAAGAAAAAAAAUAUUUUUUUUAUUGAGCGCCUUCGCUCAUCUUGUUUUGAUGACCUUAUCAGAACCUUAUCAGAAUCAGAAUUUUUUAUCAUAUUAAUUUCUACUCUACCUUCCCCGAGUUCAUUCUCGAGG